GAAUGAAUCCUAUCGGGGGAAGGUGUGUUGUAAAGGAUGAUCCGCCUAUUAAUUUACUCUUAUUAUGUUGGUGUAUAUCUAGUUUAAUAUUAUUGUCUAGUGACUUAAUUUGUGUAGAAUUUAGUUAAGCUAAGUCUAUGUGCUGCAUAUAGGAGUUUUCAUGCGUUACAUUUAUAAAGAGUUAGUUGUAAAGACUAAUUUAUUUAGGACUCGAAAGUAAUGUACAAUGAGUUUGUGUAUG
Molecule: ribosomal RNA, 241 nt
Filed under: Catenotaenia henttoneni
Lineage: Eukaryota; Metazoa; Platyhelminthes; Cestoda; Cyclophyllidea; Catenotaeniidae
Description: partial small subunit ribosomal RNA
Source: RNAcentral